RNAcentral lists this ribosomal RNA (492 nucleotides) under uncultured bacterium. Its description in RNAcentral is "partial 16S ribosomal RNA". It matches the Rfam family "Bacterial small subunit ribosomal RNA", at positions 29 to 507 of the family's 1533-position model. The record is from RNAcentral.
AGUGAACGCUGGCGGUAGGCCUAACACAUGCAAGUCGAACGGCAGCACAGUAAGAGCUUGCUCUUACGGGUGGCGAGUGGCGGACGGGUGAGGAAUACAUCGGAAUCUACUUUUUCGUGGGGGAUAACGUAGGGAAACUUACGCUAAUACCGCAUACGACCUACGGGUGAAAGCAGGGGAUCUUCGGACCUUGCGCGAUUGAAUGAGCCGAUGUCGGAUUAGCUAGUUGGCGGGGUAAAGGCCCACCAAGGCGACGAUCCGUAGCUGGUCUGAGAGGAUGAUCAGCCACACUGGAACUGAGACACGGUCCAGACUCCUACGGGAGGAAGCAGUGGGGAAUAUUGGACAAUGGGCGCAAGCCUGAUCCAGCCAUACCGCGUGGGUGAAGAAGGCCUUCGGGUUGUAAAGCCCUUUUGUGGGGAAAGAAAAGCAGCAGGUUAAUACCCCGCUGUUCUGACGGUACCCAAAGAAUAAGCACCGGCUAACUUCGUG